UACGGAGGGUGCAAGCGUUAUCCGGAUUCACUGGGUUUAAAGGGUGCGUAGGUGGGCAAGUAAGUCAGUGGUGAAAUCUCCGGGCUUAACCCGGAAACUGCCAUUGAUACUAUUUGUCUUGAAUACUGUGGAGGUCAGCGGAAUAUGUCAUGUAGCGGUGAAAUGCUUAGAUAUGACAUAGAACACCUAUUGCGAAGGCAGCUGGCUACACAAAUAUUGACACUGAGGCACGAAAGCGUGGGGAUCAAACAGG
RNAcentral lists this ribosomal RNA (253 nucleotides) under uncultured bacterium. RNAcentral describes it as "partial 16S ribosomal RNA". It matches the Rfam family "Bacterial small subunit ribosomal RNA", at positions 524 to 776 of the family's 1533-position model. The record is from RNAcentral.